This is an RNA transcript of Cygnus olor (mute swan), 3055 nucleotides long. It is a transcript of the gene named F-box and leucine rich repeat protein 18, with no coding region annotated. The transcript is spliced from 6 exons. The record is from RefSeq and is a predicted model, not a curated record. Lineage: Eukaryota; Metazoa; Chordata; Aves; Anseriformes; Anatidae.
CCCCCCCCCGCUUGUUAGGAUCAAGUCCUUUUGUGCUCCGGGUGUCACCCCAAGCUGCUCCCAGCCUACAAAACCACUAUGGACAAAAACACUAUGGGACAUGAUCAUUUGCCCACUGCCUGCACUGAAGAGCAGGGCACUAAUCCAGCAAAUGCCCCGGAGGCUGCAAAAUACCCCGCUGGGGUGGCCGGCCAAGCCCUCUGUGCCCCGUACGCUGCUGCCGGCUGAGUCACGGCUCAGCGCAGGGCGGAUUUUCAUUCUGGGAGCAGCCUCAAGGUUUCGUGGGGCGCGGGCCUGGCGUGAGUCAGCCGCUGAGGUGGCGGAGGAGGCCGAGAGGAGGCACCGAGAGGCUGCCCUGCUCGCUCGGCUCCCGACACCUCAGCACCACCAGACUCAGGCAGAAGUGAAGAAACCCGCUGCAUGCAGCGGGACCGUGCUUAAUUUAACCUCAGGGCCGAGCCCUGCAAGCCGGGGACCGAGCCCCGAGCCCCGCACCCUCCGUGAGGGGGGCAGCGCCCAGCCGCCACCCCCAGCAUGGCGGCGCCGCGCUCAAGAUGGCGCCGGGCGGCGGCCGCGCCGUCCCCGCGCUCCCGCCUCAAGAUGGCGGCGCGGGGCGGCGGAGGAGUGGCGAGCCGCGGAAGCCGGGUCAUGGCAGCGCCGGAAGAACCGUGCGGCGGCCGGGCCGGCGGCGAGCCAGGCCGGGAGGCGGCGGGUUUGAGCGGUGCCCGGUGCGGCGGGGCCGCCGCCAUGUUCCGCUGUGGAGAGGAGCUUGUAAGUGGGGAAAGUGAGGAGGAAAAUAAUGGUGUCAACCUGAUGGAGUUCUCGGAUGAGAUCCUUUUGCACAUUCUAAGCUACGUCCCUUGCACAGACCUUGUCCUGAAUGUCAGGAAAACCUGCAGGAAACUCGCAACGCUUUGCCUUGACAAGAGUCUAACCCAUACAGUUUUACUUCAGAAAGACUAUAAGGUAAACAAAGACAAAGUGAAGCAACUGAUGAGGGAUAUCGGAAAAGAGAUUUACCAGCUGAACAUGGCUGGGUGCUAUUGGCUGCCCAGCUCCACUAUUGAUCAUGUAAUACGAUGCAAGAACCUGGUAAAACUGAACUUGUCUGGGUGCCACAUCACUUCUCUCCGCCUCUCAAAGAUGCUGUCCGCGCUCCAGCACCUGCGCUCCCUGGCGAUAGAUGUAAACCCGGGUUUCGAUGCCAGUCAGCUAAGCAGUGAGUGUAAAGCCACUCUUAGCCGUGUCUCGGAAUUGAAGCAAACCCUUUACACUCCAUCAUACGGUGUUGUUCCGUGCUGCACUAGCCUUGAGAAACUGCUGCUUUAUUUUGAGAUCCUUGAUCGCUCACGAGAAGGUUUUAUGCUCUCCGGGCAGCUAAUGGUAGGUGAGAGCAACGUGCCCCAUUACCAGAACCUUCGCGUCUUCUAUGCCAGGCUGGCUCCUGGCUACGUUAAUCAGGAGGUGGUGAGGCUGUACUUGGCGGUGCUAAGUGAUCGGACACCUGAGAACCUGCACGCCUUCCUUAUUUCUGCCCCUGGUAGUUUCGCUGAGACCGGAGCCACUAAAAACCUCCUGGACUCCAUGGCUCGAAAUGUACGCCUGGAUGCUUUACAAUUGCCCAAAGCCUGGAUUAACGGCUCAGGGCUCCUGCAACACUUGAAGUUCAACAACCCCUUCUACUUCAGCUUUAGCCGAUGCACCUUAUCUGGUGGUCACCUGAUCCAGAGAGUUAUUAACGGUGGGAAGGAUCUUAAAAGCUUGACCAGUCUGAACCUCAGUGGCUGUGUUCACUGUCUGGCUCCAGAGUCCUUGUUCCGAAAAGCAGAAGACGACAUUGACAGUAGCAUUCUGGAAAGCCUGGUAGUGUCUUGCUGCAACCUGAGACACCUCAACCUCUCCGCAGCUCACCACCACAGCUCAGAAAGCAUAGGGAAUCAUUUGUGCCAGCUUCUGUCCAGGCUAAAGCACCUACUCUCGCUAGCACUACCAGUUUGUUCCAUCACAGACGUUGCUGCAAACAUGGAAAAGCCUCCCACGCAGUCUAAUGCGGCGCCCCAAACGUUUGGAAAGAAAGUCAGGGUGGGCAUACAGACGUACCCGAGGAACUUAACGGACCAGGCAAAUCAGAAGAUAGAGUCUUCGGUGUUCUGGACUCUGAUGGGAAGUCUCCGAUUUUUGGAAACCUUGGAAAUAAUAGGGUCCAGUUUUUCCUCUGCCAUGCCCCGCAACGAGCCAGCCAUUCGGAACUCGUUGCCUCCUUGCGUCCGGGCACAAAGCGUGGGGGAUUCGGAGGUGGCUGCCAUUAGCCAAUUGACUUACUUGCAGAGCCUCACCUUAGCGCAGCUGCCAAAUAUUAUUACUGGUUCUGGGCUCGUUAGCAUCGGAUUGCAGUGCCAGCAUUUGCGGACUCUUUCGUUGGCCAACCUGGGCAUGAUGGGGAAGGUGGUCUAUAUGUCUGCUCUCAUGGACAUGCUGAAACACUGCAAGUGCUUGAGAGAUCUCAGGCUGGAACAGCCCUACUUCAGCGCGGGCGCCCAGUUCUUCCAGGCACUGAGCCACUGCUCCUCUCUCCAGCGGCUUUGCAUCGUCUCCCGGAGCGGGACUCUGCAGUCUGACGCAGUGAUGUCAUUCAUGGCCAACUGCCUUGAGGUCAUCAUGUGCCACAUGUUUAUGGGAGAAUCUCUCACCGUCUGCAAAAACCUCCAGCAGUCUAUUGUCCGGAGGCCGGCUACCUGUCUGCAGCAAAUGGCUCUGCAAAGUCCCUCUGUAAUGCCACGCCUCGGGAUCUGGAUGACUGAGGGUUAACCGGUGCUGGGAAGUGCAGAGAAUUCUAAUGUUUUAGGACAAUCUGCCUGUUCUGGGGAUCUAAGAUGUGGAGGAAGAGAAAUAUUAACUUAGCCCUCCUACUUCUGCCAGCGUCAGUUUCCAGGCGGACCGCCCCGCGUUAAAUGUCGUCAUUUUCCCUCUGCUUCACGAGGACUUGACGGAGGUCAUCAGAGAUGUCCCCAUGAGGCACUUGGAUGAAAUUACCUUGUUUAAAAGCAGAGUGGCC